Molecule: long non-coding RNA, 637 nt
Filed under: Chinchilla lanigera (long-tailed chinchilla)
Lineage: Eukaryota; Metazoa; Chordata; Mammalia; Rodentia; Chinchillidae
Description: lncRNA (ENSCLAG00000026569.1)
Source: RNAcentral
GCGAACUCUUUUGAAAGCAAAGACUUGGCUGACAAACUCUUAGCAUGUAAGUCUUCUCCCCUUCCCCCCUUUUCUGUCUGGAUAUUGAUUAGGACACCUGGAGAUACAGCAUCUACAAUGCUACCAUAAGAAAAAAGCCACCCAACAUGGCAGAGAAACAGACAGACAGAAGAUGGCUGGCUCCCUGGUGAUACCAAGAGCCUGUUACUUUAGCCCUGAACUGCCUGCCUCAGGAUGUGUUAUGUAAGAAAAGGAACACCCUGACAGUGUGCUGCUGUUAAUCACUUCUCUGUAUUUUGCCACUGAGCACAGUCUUUGCGACACAAAGCACGUCAGCUUCAGUCACAGAGGUCAGAUGAGUAAAAAAGGGAAAAGAAAAAAAUGUGGGAAGAAAGAAGCGAGAAAAGGAGGCAAAAUAAUUAAUAGAUGGGAUUCCUUUUUGUAUUAUUCUUGAAAUGACUGGAAUAAAAGAUGAUUCUCCAGAUUAUAUUCCAAAUACGCAGAAAAAUGCUAGCAAAUGUCAGAACUUGACAUCUUCAAACAAGAAUAGUUGUACACGUACCGACUACCUCCCUCCUGAGUCCCACUCUCAUGUCUAUGCUCCAGGGCACAACGUGGGCUCAUGCAUCAGGCCAAC